Molecule: unclassified non-coding RNA, 240 nt
Filed under: soil metagenome
Description: partial contains 5.8S ribosomal RNA, internal transcribed spacer 2, and large subunit ribosomal RNA
Source: RNAcentral
AACCAUUCUCACCUGCGGCUAGACCUGCGGAAGGAUCAUUACAAGAUUCUAACAGUUCUAGCCCAUAAAAAGGCUAUGAGCUAUUCAACCCUUUGUGAACCAAAAACCUUUUCGCUUCGGUAGCAGGCUUGAAUUAAUUUCUAUGCCGUUAGCCUACCGGCAGCAUCAAAUUAUUAAACUUGACCUUUUGAAUUUUGUCUGAAUAUUAAAUUUUGAAUAAAAAUUAAAACUUUCAACAAC